AUUGAACGCUGGCGGCAUGCCUAACACAUGCAAGUCGAACGGGGUGUAGCAAUACAUCUAGUGGCGGACGGGUGAGGAAUACAUAGGAAUUUGCCCUUAAGUGGGGGAUAGUCCGGGGAAACUCGGUUUAAUACCGCAUGAUCUCGUGAGAGCAAAGCAGGGGACCGCAAGGCCUUGCGCUUUUGGAGAAGCCUAUGUCGGAUUAGCUAGUUGGUAGGGUAAUGGCCUACCAAGGCAACGAUCCGUAACUGGUCUGAGAGGAUGAUCAGUCACACCGGAACUGAGACACGGUCCGGACUCCUACGGGAGGCAGCAGUGGGGAAUAUUGGACAAUGGCGCAAGCCUGAUCCAGCAAUGCCGCGUGUGUG
This 368-nucleotide ribosomal RNA is filed under the name uncultured bacterium. RNAcentral's name for it is "bacterial SSU rRNA". It matches the Rfam family "Bacterial small subunit ribosomal RNA", at positions 30 to 407 of the family's 1533-position model. The record is from RNAcentral.